RNAcentral lists this ribosomal RNA (433 nucleotides) under uncultured bacterium. RNAcentral's name for it is "partial 16S ribosomal RNA". It matches the Rfam family "Bacterial small subunit ribosomal RNA", at positions 29 to 507 of the family's 1533-position model. The record is from RNAcentral.
AACGAACGCUGGCGGCAUGCCUAACACAUGCAAGUCGAAUGAGACCUUCGGGUCUAGUGGCGCACGGGCGCGUAACGCGUGGGAACCUGCCCUUAGGUUCGGAAUAACUCCCCGAAAGGGGUGCUAAUACCGGAUAAUGUCUUCGGACCAAAGAUUUAUCGCCUUUGGAUGGGCCCGCGUUGGAUUAGCUAGUUGGUAGGGUAAAAGCCUACCAAGGCGACGAUCCAUAGCUGGUCUGAGAGGAUGAUCAGCCACACUGGGACUGAGACACGGCCCAGACUCCUACGGGAGGCAGCAGUGGGGAAUAUUGGACAAUGGGCGAAAGCCUGAUCCAGCAAUGCCGCGUGAGUGAUGAAGGCCUUAGGGUUGUAAAGCUCUUUUACCCGGGAUGAUAAUGACAGUACCGGGAGAAUAAGCUCCGGCUAACUCCGUG